GGGUUGCCAUUUUUUUAAAAAAAAAUUUAAUUUUUGUACGGAAUAUUGAAAAGAAUAGAGGGUAUGGAAGAAUAAUUUUUUAAUUUAAAUUUAAAUGAGAGACUGAUCAAUGGCCAAGGUGAGAAACGACGUAUCUCCGUAGAGGUGUUUCAAAAUUUCCGUUUUUGCUCUAUUUUUUGGGAAGGGAAACAAGCCACUUUUUUUUCUUGAUACAUAGACAAAAGUAAGAGAGAGGAGCGUCUCAAAAAGCGGCGUUUCCUAAUUUUCAGAGAAAAGAGGAGUAAAAAGUACAGGAAUUUGGCAACGUCGCAAAUUGGAGAAACGAGGUUUGGCAAUAUCGCAUCAAGAUGGUACUCCUUCGUUUUUCUUGGCGCGUGUUGCAUACCCAGCCCCUGAAAAUAUGUUCAAUAAUUGCCCUCUUUUGGCGGCUGCUUGAAAUUUCAUUGUGGAUACAAUGUCAUUUUAGUGUGGAUACAAUGAGGAAAACAAAGAAAAUAAAGGAGCAAUAGACCCUCAAACUAUAACAUUCCACAUACAUGCGUGGAAAUUCUGCGCAAUACAGGACGACAUCUAUCAUGAAAGUUGAAACUCACACAUGAUCCAUAAAUUUAAUGCUAGUUAAGCUGUUUUAUUCAUUAAUCCACUAACUUCAAGGUUGGUAGAGUCGAUUAAAGUAGAUAAAAAUGAUGGGAGAUGGCUGAGAAAUUUUUUAUUACUGGAUCAGUUUCACGGAGGUCUUGAAAAUUUACGCAUUUUGUUGAAUUGAGAUUUGAUAUCACACCUUUUCGGUCUGUGGCGAGAUAUGUGAGUUGGUUUAAAGCUUAAUCCAUGUAAUUUAAGGUAUGUGAAGUCAGAGGGAGGUAAUAAAAAUAUUGGGAGAUGGCUGAGAAAUUUUUUAUUACUGGAUCAGUUUCACGGACGUCUUGAGAUUUUACGCAUUUUGUUGAAUCGAGAUUUAAUAUCACACCUUUUCUGUCUAUGAAAGGAAUUUUGAGUUGUUUUAAAGUUUAAUCUGUGUAAUUUAGGUUUGUUGGAGUCACAGGAAGCCAUUACGAACGAAGUCAGACGGCUGAGGAAUUCUGUAUCAUCGGAUCAGUUUAACGAGCGCCUUGAGAUUUUGCCCAUUUUGGUCAAUCACGAUUUAACAGCACACCUCUUCGGUUUGUGGAGAGAUAUUGUACCUUGAACGAGCGGUUUUUUUGGAUCGCCACAGAGCUUUCUGUUCUCCACUUGUGGUUUGGGAGGUUCACGUCCCUUCAAUUUGUGACUGUUAAACAAGUUAUUUGUCUCUCUUUCAUCGAUUUCAUUUGGAACGCAAUUUCAAGUCGUGUACCUUGAACGAGCGGUUUUUUUGGAUCACCACAGAGCUUUCUGUUCUCCACUUGUGGAUGGGAGGUUCACGUCCCUUCAAUAUGUGACUGUUAAACAAGUUAUUUGUCUCUCUUUCAUCGAUUUCAUUUGGAACGCAAUUUCAAGUCGGUGAGUUCUUAAACUUCUUGAAACCAAUUCUACGUAUGCAUGUGUUAGAAAGGGCCCUGAUCCGGAGAGAGUUGGCAUGAAUCAAUUGCCAUUAGCACUGAGAACCGGAGUUCUUUGCAACUUUCACAGACUACUUGGGCUUCCUAUCGAAUGCAUCAAGUUUGUUUACAUAGACGAUCGAUAACCUUUACUACGCUUCGAACAUUCACCAAGAGUCAGGAUAAGACAGUGUGAAAGAACAUUGAACCAGCAGAUUUUGAACAGAAUUGUUCAAGAGAGGAUCGAUUCUGUCAAAUAUCAACGCAUCGUUCGUACAGAACCAGCGAUAUGCUCUAUCAGUAAAUCUUCCCAAUUACCGGCGCUUCUCCGUAAAUGUAUAAACAUGGGCAGGUGGAAUGAUGCGUUGUCCUUUCCCAAUUCCCUUCUGUUCAGCGCCCUUUCUUCGUCAGCUCAUUCCAUGCACUUUAGCAAUGAUUUGGAGCUCUUCAACGGAACAAGGUUGAAAUCGCUCCAGGUAGAAACAUUAUUGGUCGAUAACUAAGUGUGCAUGCUAAAAGACUGUUUUCCUCCGUGGA
Non-coding RNA from Bemisia tabaci, 2054 nucleotides. NCBI's taxonomy places the organism in Eukaryota, Metazoa, Arthropoda, Insecta, Hemiptera, Aleyrodidae. The record is from RefSeq and is a predicted model, not a curated record.